Antechinus flavipes (yellow-footed antechinus) is the source of this 906-nucleotide long non-coding RNA. RefSeq lists it as uncharacterized. The transcript is spliced from 2 exons. NCBI's taxonomy places the organism in Eukaryota, Metazoa, Chordata, Mammalia, Dasyuromorphia, Dasyuridae. The record is from RefSeq and is a predicted model, not a curated record.
CCUGGGCAGCAUGGGCAGAAGGUGGAAAAGGCUGACUUCAACCAGUCCUUGUAUUCUUUUGGUCUAGUGGACAAUGGGAACAAAGAAAGUGACUGGAAUUAGAUAGAAGGCAGUGGGUAGCUGGAAGUUCCACGAAGUGUGGAUUUUUUUGAAAAAACAUUAGUGGAGCUGUGUCUUAAUAUAGGUUUCAGCCUGAGUUGCUAACUGUUUAAGGAGAGUAUCAUUACUGCUUCCAAAGGGACCUACAUCAGCUCAAGGCCAAGGUAUUCCCCAAUUCCUCUGGAGGACUGCAAGAUAGACCAAAGAAGUAGCUAAAAAUGAGGAAAAUGAAUCCCCGAAAGAAGCAGCCAAAAUGACUGGGUCACAAAUAAGAGAGAAGAUUCUAGAUAUCAGAAGAUAUGAGAUAAUGGACAUAAAGGAUUUUGUAAACUUUGAAGAGCUUUAUAUAUGCCAGUUAUUAGUAUUGCUACUACUGUUAUUAUUAUUAGACAGAAUAAGAUGAUGGCUUUGUUGUUUGAGCCUUCCACACUACAUUUCUGCUGAGCUCAAGUAAUGUUCGUGAAGUGGUGUGCUGGCAUAUAUUUAACCAGCAGGGUCUCCAGGGGAAAAAAUGGAUGCACACAAUUUCAAAUUUAAUUUGCAUUAUUAACACUUUCUUAAAUCUAGACAAUUGACAAAACAAUCAAGCCCUGAUUUAUAACUUUCUGAUUUGCCGUAUAAAUGCUCACAGUGAAAAUUUAAUUGUCUCUCCACAAUUUUUAAUCUUUUCCAUUAAAACUUUCCAUUUAGUACUUUGCCUUUCUUCAUAAUAUUUGAAUUAUAAAAUUAAAAUGAUGAGAAAAAAGUAAGAAUUUAAAUUAAAAUCUGCAUAUACAAUAACAACAUUAUAAUAAACUUGUGAUCUCA